Molecule: small nucleolar RNA, 139 nt
Organism: Sorghum bicolor (sorghum)
Lineage: Eukaryota; Viridiplantae; Streptophyta; Magnoliopsida; Poales; Poaceae
Rfam family: Small nucleolar RNA Z247
About the family: Z247 is a member of the C/D class of snoRNA which contain the C (UGAUGA) and D (CUGA) box motifs. Most of the members of the box C/D family function in directing site-specific 2'-O-methylation of substrate RNAs.
Source: Rfam
CCUGUCUCGAAUGAAGAGUUGAUCACCUUUAUCCUUGCUGGAUUGGAUCUCGACUACAACGCGCUGGUCCAGUCGGUCAUGGCCAAAACAGAUCCUGUUACCUUGAGUGAUCUCUAUGGCCAAAUCCUGGCGUAUGAUU